GCACUGCUGAGGAGUCCCAUACUUGGACGAAACGGCCGUCCAGUGU
Molecule: non-coding RNA, 46 nt
Filed under: Schistosoma margrebowiei
Lineage: Eukaryota; Metazoa; Platyhelminthes; Trematoda; Strigeidida; Schistosomatidae
Source: RNAcentral